GAUGAACGCUGGCGGCGUGCCUAAUACAUGCAAGUCGAGCGAACAGACGAGGAUCUUGCUCCUCGCACGAUUGCCGCGCACGGGUGAGAAACACGUGUAUAACCUACCUAUAAGACUGAGAACACUUCGAGACACCGGAUCUAAUCCCGGAGAAUAUAUUGAACCGCAGGGGGCAAUAGAGAAAGACGGCGUUGCUGGCACGUAUAGAGGCUUCCGCGCUGCAUUAGCUAGUUGUUAAGGUAACGGCUUAGCAAGGCAACGAUGCGUAGCCGACCUAAGGGGGUGAUCGGCCACACUGGAGCUGAGACGCGGUCCAGGGGACUACGGGAGGCAGCAGUCGGGAACCUUACGCAAUGGGCGAGAGCCUGACGCAGCGAGGGCGAGUGAGUUAUGAAGGUCCUCGGAUCGUGAUACUCUGUUAUUAGUGAAGAACCAAUGUGGAAGUAACUAUGCCCGUCUUGACGGUAACGAAUCAGGAAGCCCCGGCUAACUACGUG
Molecule: ribosomal RNA, 497 nt
Filed under: uncultured bacterium
Lineage: Bacteria
Description: partial 16S ribosomal RNA
Rfam family: Bacterial small subunit ribosomal RNA
Source: RNAcentral